Callithrix jacchus (white-tufted-ear marmoset) is the source of this 952-nucleotide long non-coding RNA. RefSeq lists it as uncharacterized. The record is from RefSeq and is a predicted model, not a curated record. Lineage: Eukaryota; Metazoa; Chordata; Mammalia; Primates; Cebidae.
CUGCUCUGUGCUGCAUGCCGACCAUCAGCUCCAAUGCCCACUGCCGCUAGAGAAAACAGACCAGAAGAGCAGUCGUGGCUCCUUCUAUCAUGUCUUAAGCUUUACAAGAUUGGUUUGAAAACUAGGCUUCUAUGAAGCACUUUUGGAUUGAGCUGCAUUGUGAUAAUUUUGGACUGAAAUAAAUUUGGAAACCAUGAGAGCACAUUAAGGAAUUUCACUGGGAGAACUGGAACCCAAGUCUAAUGGCAGAUGAGGACAGAAAAACAAAUUAACAGACAAUUACCAUACAAUGCUAAGCGAAGAAAAAACAGUCUUGUGAGAACUUGGAGGAAGGCCUCUGAAUCUAAUCCAUGAUAUUCUUCUAGAACACAAGACGUCACUUUGGUCAAAUCAUUCUACAUAGAGCAAUCAGCUUCCCCAUCCAUCCUGCAUGUGGGAGUAAGGAUAAGGCUGGGAAAAAUAAACAGUGUUAUCCUGGAAUGAUCACAGAGUGGAGUAAAUGAAACCACUGAGCAAACACAUUCUGCACACCUACAAUGUUCCAGGCACUGUGGCCCGUGCUGGAUAUAGAAAUGAAAAUGGAUUCCAUGUCCUCAAAUCGUCUAGUCUCACAAAGGAAGAGAUGAGAAAGGAGAAAAUUGCAGUGUGGCAGUGUUUAAAGUGUCCCUAACCCAGUCCUACUGCUGAAGUGCUGUCUAGGAUCCCUACGGGCAAGAAGGCUGUGAUGGAGACAAUAUGUGUGUCAGAGGAUCUUCAUUCAAGCAUGGGUGCUGUUGUCUAGCAAUCACAGAAAAUCCGAAAGGCUGUCUACAAGCCAGAGAGGCCUGGAACAGAUCCUGCCCUCGCAGCCCUCAGAAGGAACGAGCCCUGUCAGCAACUUGAUUUAGGACCUCCAGACUCCAGACUGGGAGAGAAUAAACUUCUGUUGUUUAAGCCACUCUAUUUAUGGUGC